GAUGAACGCUGGCGGCGUGCCUAAUACAUGCAAGUCGAGCGAAUGGAUUAAGAGCUUGCUCUUAUGAAGUUAGCGGCGGACGGGUGAGUAACACGUGGGUAACCUGCCCAUAAGACUGGGAUAACUCCGGGAAACCGGUGCUAAUACCGGAUAACAUUUUGAACCGCAUGGUUCGAAAUUGAAAGGUGGCUUCGGCUGUCACUUAUGGAUUGACCGGCGUCGCAUUAGCUAGUUGGUGAGGUAACGGCUCACAAAGGCAACGAUGCGUAGCCGACCUGAGAGGGUGAUCGGCCACACUGGGACUGGGACACGGCCCAGACUCCUACGGGAGGCAGCAGUAGGGAAUCUUCCGCAAUGGACGAAAGUCUGACGGAGCAACGCCGCGUGAGUGAUGAAGGCUUUCGGGUCGUAAAACUCUGUUGUUAGGGAAGAACAAGUGCUAGUUGAAUAAGCUGGCACCUUGACGGUACCUAACCAGAAAGCCACGGCUAACUACGUGCCAGCCGCCGCAGUAA
Molecule: ribosomal RNA, 515 nt
Filed under: uncultured bacterium
Lineage: Bacteria
Description: partial 16S ribosomal RNA
Rfam family: Bacterial small subunit ribosomal RNA
Source: RNAcentral